UGCCAGCCGCCGCGGUAAUACGGAGUGUGCAAUCGUUGUUCGGAAUUAUUGGGCGUAAAGCGCGUGUAGGCGGUUCGUUAAGUCAGGGGUGAAAUCCCGGGGCUCAACCCCGGAACUGCCUCUGAUACUGGUAGUCUUGAGUUCGAGAGAGGUGAGUGGAAUUCCGAGUGUAGAGGUGAAAUUCGUAGAUAUUGGGAAGAACACCAGUGGCGAAGGCGGCUACCUGGUCCGGAUCUGACGCUGAGGCGCGAAAGCGUGGGGAGCAAACAGGAUUAGAUA
Molecule: ribosomal RNA, 279 nt
Filed under: uncultured bacterium
Lineage: Bacteria
Description: partial 16S ribosomal RNA
Rfam family: Bacterial small subunit ribosomal RNA
Source: RNAcentral